UGGGGAAUCUUGCGCAAUGCGCGAAAGCGUGACGCAGCAAUGCCGCGUGGGGGAAGAAGGCCUUCGGGUUGUAAACCUCUUUCAGGAGGGACGAAGCUGCGGCGGCGAAUAGCCGACCGUAGUGACGGUACCUCCAGAAGAAGCCCCGGCUAACUACGUGCCAGCAGCCGCGGUAAUACGUAGGGGGCAAGCGUUGUCCGGAAUCAUUGGGCGUAAAGCGCACGUAGGCGGCCCGGUAAGUCCGUUGUGAAAGUCAGAGGCUCAACCUCUGGAGGCCAAUGGAUACUGCCGGGCUAGAGUCCGGAAGAGGCGAGUGGAAUUCCUGGUGUAGCGGUGGAAUGCGCAGAUAUCAGGAGGAACACCAAUGGCGAAGGCAGCUCGCUGGGACGGUACUGACGCUGAGGUGCGAAAGCGUGGGGAGCGAACAGGAUUAGAUACCCCCGUAGUCC
This 449-nucleotide ribosomal RNA is filed under the name uncultured bacterium. RNAcentral's name for it is "bacterial SSU rRNA". It matches the Rfam family "Bacterial small subunit ribosomal RNA", at positions 355 to 796 of the family's 1533-position model. The record is from RNAcentral.